Molecule: ribosomal RNA, 395 nt
Filed under: Arthrobacter citreus
Lineage: Bacteria; Bacillati; Actinomycetota; Actinomycetes; Micrococcales; Micrococcaceae
Description: bacterial SSU rRNA
Rfam family: Bacterial small subunit ribosomal RNA
Source: RNAcentral
UAACUUCGGGAUAAGCCUGGGAAACCGGGUCUAAUACCGGAUACGACGGACCACCGCAUGGCGGUCCGUGGAAAGCUUGAUGCGGUUUUGGAUGGACUCGCGGCCUAUCAGCUAGUUGGUUGGGGUAAUGGCCCACCAAGGCGACGACGGGUAGCCGGCCUGAGAGGGUGACCGGCCACACUGGGACUGAGACACGGCCCAGACUCCUACGGGAGGCAGCAGUGGGGAAUAUUGCACAAUGGGCGAAAGCCUGAUGCAGCGACGCCGCGUGAGGGACGAAGGCCUUCGGGUUGUAAACCUCUUUCAGCAGGGAAGAAGCGAAAGUGACGGUACCUGCAGAAGAAGCGCCGGCUAACUACGUGCCAGCAGCCGCGGUAAUACGUAGGGCGCAAGCG